CCUACGGGUGGCAGCAGUGAGGAAUAUUGGUCAAUGGACGAGAGUCUGAACCAGCCAAGUAGCGUGAAGGAUGAAUGCCCUAUGGGUUGUAAACUUCUUUUAUAAGGGAGUAAAGCGAUGCACGUGUGCCUUUUUGUAUGUACUUUAUGAAUAAGGAUCGGCUAACUCCGUGCCCGCAGCCGCGGUCAUACGGAGGAUCCGAGCGGUCUCCGGCGUUUUUGGGUUUAAAGGGCGCGUUGAUGGGUUGUUCAGGCCGUUGGGAAAGUUUGCGGCUCAACCGGAAAAGUGCAGUUGAUACUGGCGGCCUUGAGUGGAGUAGAGGUAGGCGGAAUUCGUGGUGUAGCGGUGAAAUGCUUAGAUAUCACGAAGAACGCCGAUUGCGAAGGCAGCUUACU
RNAcentral lists this ribosomal RNA (395 nucleotides) under uncultured bacterium. RNAcentral's name for it is "partial 16S ribosomal RNA". It matches the Rfam family "Bacterial small subunit ribosomal RNA", at positions 338 to 730 of the family's 1533-position model. The record is from RNAcentral.